RNAcentral lists this unclassified non-coding RNA (300 nucleotides) under uncultured Entrophosporaceae. RNAcentral describes it as "uncultured Claroideoglomeraceae sequence contains 5.8S rRNA gene, ITS2". The stretch from base 1 to 71 matches the Rfam family "5.8S ribosomal RNA", at positions 84 to 154 of the family's 154-position model. The record is from RNAcentral. Lineage: Eukaryota; Fungi; Glomeromycota; Glomeromycetes; Entrophosporales; Entrophosporaceae.
GUGAGUCAUCGAAUCUUUGAACGCAUAUUGCACUCUCUGGUAAUCCGGGGAGUAUGCCUGUUUGAGGGUCAGUAAAUAAUAAAUUAUCACAAUCUUUUGAUUAUGGAAUUGGGCCUUUAUUUCGAAUAGAUUUAUGGCCUCAAAUUUACGUUACCGCUUGUUUAAUAUGAAAUUCGACCGAAUGGAGCAAUUAAACAUUCUCUCGUUAGGCGGAUUCAUCAAGCAAUUACGAUUUUUUGGCCGCCGAAGGACUUUUACAAGUGCUUGGCCGGAGAUCGUGAGUUUUAACAAAUGACCUCA